AUUGAACGCUGGCGGCAUGCCUUCACAUGCAAGUCGAACGGCAGCACGGGUGCUUGCACCUGGUGGCGCGUGGCGAACGGGUGAGUAAUACAUCGGAACAUGUCCUGUAGUGGGGGAUAGCCCGGCGAAAGCCGGAUUAAUACCGCAUACGAUCUACGGAUGAAAGCGGGGGACCUUCGGGCCUCGCGCUAUAGGGUUGGCCGAUGGCUGAUUAGCUAGUUGGUGGGGUAAAGGCCUACCAAGGCGACGAUCAGUAGCUGGUCUGAGAGGACGACCAGCCACACUGGGACUGAGACACGGCCCAGACUCCUACGGGAGGCAGCAGUGGGGAAUUUUGGACAAUGGGCGAAAGCCUGAUCCAGCAAUGCCGCGUGUGUGAAGAAGGCCUUCGGGUUGUAAAGCACUUUUGUCCGGAAAGAAAUCCUUGGCCCUAAUACGGUCGGGGGAUGACGGUACCGGAAGAAUAAGCACCGGCUAACUACGUG
Molecule: ribosomal RNA, 485 nt
Filed under: uncultured bacterium
Lineage: Bacteria
Description: partial 16S ribosomal RNA
Rfam family: Bacterial small subunit ribosomal RNA
Source: RNAcentral